AUGGAUAGCGCGGCGAACACGAUUGUGAGUGUUGGGCAGCUAGUAGGCGAGGAGUUUUGGCUGCUCCGCAAGGUCGGCGGCGAUGUGGCCGAGUUGAGGAACGAGCUGGCGACCAUGAGCUCCCUCCUUCGCACAUAUUCCGAAGCCGAGGCCGGCACCGUGGACCACUUCGUCCGGGAGUGGAUGAAGCAGCUGCGCGAGCUCGCCUAUGAUGCUGAGGACUGCGUCGACCUCUACAUCUUCCGCAUCAAGUCCCGCAAAGGAGACGGCCUUCUCGCCUGGUCAAAACAUAUGGUCGCGACGAUUUUCCCUCGCCAUCUCAUCGCCGGUAAAAUCAAGGACCUCCGCCUCCGCGCCAUCUCUAUCAGCGAGCGCCAUGCUCGUUACGGCGCCAUCGACCGCGAGAAACUGAGCCCCUCGGUUUCUUUAGCCCCUGUUGCGGCGGUGACCAGGCAAGCACUCCGCCCUGCCAACUACACUGAUAAGUUAGUUGGCAUCGCGGGACAGGCCAACACUCUGGCGGAGAAGGUGAAGGCGAUGAAUAAUGACCAAGAAGACAAGCUCAAGGUGUUCUCCGUUGACGGGUUUGGAGGGCUAGGCAAAACAACGCUGGCCAUGGAGGUGUGCCGGCGGUUGGAGCCGGACUUCGAUCGUCAAGCGCUAGUGUCUGUGUCGCAGGCAUUCGAUGCCGGGAAGGACCUCAGCGCAUUACUGAAGCGCGUGCUUCAACAGAUGGUGAAGCCAAAAGCAGAUAAUGAGAAAGUCAUCAAGGAAGAAGACUCCUUGGGCGGUGAUCAUGACGUAUUAAGCGUGGAUCAGCUGGCCAGGAAGCUCGAUGAGCUUCUCGCCGACAAAAGGUACCUCAUAGUCAUCGAUGAUGUAUGGACAAUAGCAGCAUGGGAUGCAAUCAGGUCUACGUUGCCAGAUGGCAAGCCUGGCAGCAGAAUCAUUGUGACCACUCGGAUAAAGACUGUGGCCAAAGAAUGCAGUGAUGUUAGUGCUACCGAACACUACAUCCAUCAUAUGAAGCCACUUACAGAUGAAGACUCCAAUGAGUUGUUUCGUAGUAGAGCAUUUGGCUCCUCAAUGGAUAAGGCCUCCCAUACCAAGGAGAUGGAAAAUAUAAGUCACAAUGAAGAGCUAGAAGAUAUAAUGAAGAGAAUUCUAAAGAAGUGUGCUGGGUUGCCAUUGGCCAUUGUUAGCAUCGCCAGCCUCUUGGCGAGCUACAAAUAUCCGGAGAGGAAAGAUAUGUGGGAAACUGUAUGGAAAUCAAUUGGUUCACAAAUGGAGAGCAACCCUACCCUUGAAGGGAUGAGGCAGAUACUCACACUCAGCUACAACCACCUACCUUAUCACCUCAAGGGUUGCAUGAUGUAUCUUAGUAUUUUUCCAGAGGAUUUUGAGAUCCCUAGGGAUCGGCUCUUAUACAAAUGGAUUGCAGAAGGAUUGGUCGAGGAGAAGCGGGGUUUGACUUUGUUGGAGAUUGCAGAAGGUUAUUUCGAUGACCUGUCGAGUAGGAGCAUGAUUGAUUCAGUCUUGUCCCUCGGCUACAAUGGAAAGUGGACAUCAUGUCGGGUGCAUGACAUGCUGCUUGAGGUCAUGGUAUCCAAAUCCUUGGAGGCAAACUUUAUUAGCCUAUCGGGUGGUCAAUAUGAAGGGAUGCCAUACGACAGGAUUCGUCGCCUCUCGGUACAUGCAGGAGCCAACAAUGACUCAACAUCCAUGAACGGGGGGGCAUCAGGAAGGCGUGGUAAGAGAAAUAGCAUGGAGAGGUUAGAAGUGCAGCAGGUUCGUUCACUAAGCAUUUUUGAUUUCCAAGAGAAGAAGCUACUUGAUCGGCUAGGCCAGUUCACCCUACUGAGGGUACUUGAUCUGGAGGACUGCAAGGGCCUGGAAAACAAACAUGUGAAGGAUAUCUGCGGGAUGUACCUCCUAAGGUUCUUGAGUAUGAAGGGUACCGAUAUCAGUCUGCUGCCUGAGAAAGUGGGUGAGCUAGAGCAUUUGCAAGUGCUUGACGUGGCCGGCACACUGCUUCUCAAGCUACCAGAAACCAUGACAGGGCUAGAGAAACUCGAGUAUCUGAGAUUCCGCCAUAGGGCACAGUGGUACACUAUGUGGACUCCUCCUGUUGGGAUCCGUAAAAUGAAAGCACUGCAGAAUAUUGAUUGUGUAGUUAUAAAGGAUGUUCGAGUUGCACAAGACCUGGGUGAACUAGGAGACUUGCGUGAUGUAACUAUCUUUGUUGAAGAAUCUAGUGGAAGUACUCAGGCUAUUCUUGAUGCACUUGUCAAGUCCAUCAGCAAGCUGUACUCCCUUCGAAGCCUCGGGAUUGGCCGCUUUAACAAGAGGUCGAUCAACUUUCUCAAUGCCAUGCCGUCGCCACCGAAGCUCCUCCAAUAUCUUUACCUGGAUGGUGCCAUGGAUGAGUUUCCCCACUGGGUCCCAUCACUGCACAAUCUCGUUGACGUUAACAUUAUUGGCUCACGGCUUAGAAUGGACCAAGUAUAUGGCGUCCUGUGCAAGCUGCCCAUCCUGCAGAGAAUCAACAUGUUGGAUAAUGCCUACGUUGACAAAGAGCUGGUUGCACGUACUACCCAUAACUUUCCGGCGUUGAGGGACCUCUCAGCUAACUGCCGGCAUACCGAAGUGGUCAAAUUUGAGCAUGGGUCCAUGGAUAUGCUCGAGGAGCUUUAUUUGCAUUUGGACGAUUAUGGGAGGAGAAUUGUUGGCAUCCAGCACUUGAGGAAGCUGAAAAGGGUGACGAUCGCUUGCAAUAAACACAAAAAAUCUGCAGUGGAUGAUGUACUGGAUAACCUAAAGUGGGAUAACAAAAGGCGCCUCGAGUCCAAUCAGUUGCAGUUCACGGUCGGAGUGCAAUACAAUUGA
Molecule: ribosomal RNA, 2886 nt
Filed under: Triticum aestivum (bread wheat)
Lineage: Eukaryota; Viridiplantae; Streptophyta; Magnoliopsida; Poales; Poaceae
Description: partial small subunit ribosomal RNA
Source: RNAcentral